This 433-nucleotide ribosomal RNA is filed under the name uncultured bacterium. RNAcentral describes it as "partial 16S ribosomal RNA". It matches the Rfam family "Bacterial small subunit ribosomal RNA", at positions 29 to 507 of the family's 1533-position model. The record is from RNAcentral.
AACGAACGCUGGCGGCAUGCCUAACACAUGCAAGUCGAACGAGACCUUCGGGUCUAGUGGCGCACGGGUGCGUAACGCGUGGGAACCUGCCCUUAGGUUCGGAAUAACUCCCCGAAAGGGGUGCUAAUACCGCAUAAUGUCUUCGGACCAAGGAUUUAUCGCCUUUGGAUGGGCCCGCGUUGGAUUAGCUAGUUGGUAGGGUAAAAGCCUACCAAGGCGACGAUCCAUAGCUGGUCUGAGAGGAUGAUCAGCCACACUGGGACUGAGACACGGCCCAGACUCCUACGGGAGGCAGCAGUGGGGAAUAUUGGACAAUGGGCGAAAGCCUGAUCCAGCAAUGCCGCGUGAGUGAUGAAGGCCUUAGGGUUGUAAAGCUCUUUUACCCGGGAUGAUAAUGACAGUACCGGGAGAAUAAGCUCCGGCUAACUCCGUG